This 468-nucleotide ribosomal RNA is filed under the name uncultured bacterium. Its description in RNAcentral is "partial 16S ribosomal RNA". It matches the Rfam family "Bacterial small subunit ribosomal RNA", at positions 28 to 507 of the family's 1533-position model. The record is from RNAcentral.
GACGAACGCUGGCGGCGUGCUUAACACAUGCAAGUCGAACGGAAAGGCCCUGCUUUUGUGGGGUGCUCGAGUGGCGAACGGGUGAGUAACACGUGAGUAACCUGCCCUUGACUUUGGGAUAACUUCAGGAAACUGGGGCUAAUACCGGAUAGGAGCUCCUGCUGCAUGGUGGGGGUUGGAAAGUUUCGGCGGUUGGGGAUGGACUCGCGGCUUAUCAGCCUGUUGGUGGGGUAGUGGCUUACCAAGGCUUUGACGGGUAGCCGGCCUGAGAGGGUGACCGGCCACAUUGGGACUGAGAUACGGCCCAGACUCCUACGGGAGGCAGCAGUGGGGAAUAAUGCACAAUGGGCGGAAGCCUGAUGCAGCAACGCCGCGUGCGGGAUGACGGCCUUCGGGUUGUAAACCGCUUUCGCCUGUGACGAAGCGUGAGUGACGGUAAUGGGUAAAGAAGCACCGGCUAACUACGUG